This 68-nucleotide transfer RNA is filed under the name Analcellicampa danfengensis. Its description in RNAcentral is "tRNA-Leu". The record is from RNAcentral. Lineage: Eukaryota; Metazoa; Arthropoda; Insecta; Hymenoptera; Tenthredinidae.
ACUAUUUUGACAGAUUAAUGUAAUAAUUUUAGAAAUUAUUUAUGUGUAAUUUUAUUACACAAAUAGUA